RNAcentral lists this long non-coding RNA (514 nucleotides) under Manihot esculenta (cassava). RNAcentral describes it as "long non-coding RNA (MESC_LNC008093)". The record is from RNAcentral. Lineage: Eukaryota; Viridiplantae; Streptophyta; Magnoliopsida; Malpighiales; Euphorbiaceae.
CAGCACAGAUCAUACAACCACUAGAGAAGAUAAAGAGAGAGAUUAGGUUGAGAAAAAGGGUUUGAUUUUGAUUUGGUUUUUGUGGGAUUGUUUUGUUUGGGUUCCAAGAAAAUAUGGCUGUACAAGCACAGUUUCCUUUGUGUGGCUCACAGGAUUGGAUUGACAAUGGUUGUGGAGUUGGGCUUAAAUCAGUUUUGUUAUUCUUAUCUCCAACAAGAACAACAGCAGCUGCAGCAGCAACAAUGCAAUAUCCAGAUGGUUCAGAAUUAGCCGCAGAAGAAUCAAGAUCUUUGCUUUGAUAAUACCUUCUUGGUUCUUUUGCUAUGAAAACCACCAAUCUUCACCCUUCAAUGGCUUAUUCUCAAGGUAUCGUUGCCUAUUUAAAAUCUCGGGACUGGAGGAGCUUCUCAGCGAUGCCGAACAAGCGUUCUGCUUCAGCUCUGUUGAAAUUUUCUUUAUUAAUUGGUAAAGCAAUGAAACAAAACCAUGGAUUGCCCGGUUGAUUCAUUCUUGA